UCAAGCAACGAAGGGCAACAGGAGGAUGCCUUGACGACACAUGGCGAAGAAGGACGUGGCAAGCUGCGAAAAGCCUCGGAGAGCCGCAAGCAGGCUUUAACCCGGGGAUAUCCGAAUGGGGAAACCCAUUGAUGGUAAAACAUCAAUACUUUGACAUGAAUAAAUAGUGUUAAAGAGCAACACCUGCUGAAGUGAAACAUCUCAGUAAGCAGAGGAAAAGAAAGCGAAUGCGAUUCCCUCAGUAGUGGCGAGCGAAAGGGGAACAGCCUAAACCGUGGGGAUUUAUCCUUGCGGGGUUCGGACUCAGACGUGGACUUAUGAUAGAUAGACGAACGGUAUGGAAAGGCCGACCAUAGAGGGUGAGAGUCCUUUAGUUGAAAUCCAUCAUAUACCUAUGAGAAUCCAGAGUAGCACCGAACACGUGAAACUUGGUGUGAAAGCGUGCAGACCACUGCAUAAGGCUAAAUACAAGGUGUCGAUCGAUAGUGAACAAGUACCGUGAGGGAAAGGUGAAAAGGACCCCUGUUAGGGGAGUUAAAAGUACCUGAAACCUGUUGCCUACAAGCGGUCAGAGCUCCUUUAUGGAGUGAUGGCGUACCUUUUGCAUAAUGGGCCUAGGAGUCUAUAUCAGUUGCAAGCUUAAGCGUUUACGACGUGGAGGCGAAGCGAAAGCGAGUCUUAAUAGGGCGGGAGUAACUGGUAUAGCACCCGAAGCGGAGGCGAUCUAGCCAUGGCCAGGCUGAAGCAUCGGUAACACGAUGUGGAGGGCCGAACCCAUUAACCUUGAGAAGUUAAGGGAUGAGCUGUGGUUAGGAGUGAAAGGCUAAUCAAGCCCCGUAAUAGCUGGUUCUCUCCGAAAUAUAUUUAGGUAUAGCGUCAAAUGCUGAUUACCGGGGGUAAAGCACUGAAAAGGCUAGGGUUCACACCCGAAUACCGAACCUUAUCAAACUCUGAAUACCGGUGAGAGAAAUUUGGCAGUCAGUCAGUGGGGGAUAAGCUUCAUUGGCGAGAGGGAAACACCCCAGACCAUCGGAUAAGGUCCCAAAGAUAGUACUAAGUGGUAAGAAGGAGGUAAGUUUUCAUAGACAAUGGGGAUGUUGGCUUAGAGGCAGCCAUCAUUUAAAAAGUGCGUAAUAGCUUACCCAUCGAGAGAAUUUGCGCCGAAAAUGAUCGGGACUGAAGUACUACACCGAAUCUGUGGAAUUAGUAAUAAUUGGUAGGAGAGCGUUCCAACAGCUUUGAAGGUUGAGCGGUGAGCGAGGCUGGAGCGGUUGGAAGUGAGAAUCUAGGCAUGAGUAACGAAAAGUAUGGUUAAAAUCCAUACCGCCGUAAGGAUAAGGUUUCCUGGGGAAGGUUCGUCCGCCCAGGGUUAGUCGGGAGCUAAGGUGAGGCCGUAAGGAGUAAUCGAUGCACAACGGGUUAAUAUUCCCGUACCGGCUUGGCAAUGUUCGAGCUUUAUAUUGACGGAUGAGUGGAUGCUGGCGAGGUGAUGAAUGUCCUUGUCCAAGGUAUCGUAAGGUACCGAUGGGACGUUGAGGCUACGGCCGAGGCGGAUCAGCAAUAGCUAAUUCCAGGAAAAUUUAUAAAGUUAGUUGUCAGGUUGCCCGUACCGCAAACCGACACAGGUAUCCGGGAUGAGUAUUCUAAGGCGCGUGAGUUAAAUCUCUCCAAGGAACUCGGCAAAAUGGCCCCGUAUCUUCGGUAGAAGGGGUGCCAACGCGAGUUGGUCUCAGUAAAGAGGCCCAACCGACUGUUUAUCAAAAACACAGCUCUCUGCCAAGUCGCAAGACAACGUAUAGGGAGUGACAUGUGACCAAUGCGGAAAGGUGAAAACUGCUUGUGAAAGCUUGUGGUCUAAGCCCCCGUGAAUGUCGGCCGUAACUAUAACGGUCCUAAGGUAGCGAAAUUCCUUGUCGGGUAAGUUCCGACCUGCACGAAU
RNAcentral lists this ribosomal RNA (1939 nucleotides) under human gut metagenome. RNAcentral describes it as "bacterial LSU rRNA". It matches the Rfam family "Bacterial large subunit ribosomal RNA", at positions 3 to 1997 of the family's 2925-position model. The record is from RNAcentral.